RNAcentral lists this ribosomal RNA (1139 nucleotides) under uncultured marine Syndiniales. RNAcentral describes it as "bacterial SSU rRNA". It matches the Rfam family "Eukaryotic small subunit ribosomal RNA", at positions 1 to 1148 of the family's 1831-position model. The record is from RNAcentral. Lineage: Eukaryota; Dinophyceae; Syndiniales.
ACCUGGUUGAUCCUGCCAGUAGUCAUAUGCUUGCCCCAAAGACUAAGCCAUGCGCGCGUCAGUAUGAAUCUCCGCACGAUGAAACUGCGAAUGGCUCAUUAAAACAGUUGUAGUUUGUUUGAUGGUUAUCGGUUAUUCGGAUAUUCGUGGCAAUCCUAGAGCUAAUGCGUGCGUGAAAACGCGACUUUCCGGGAGCGUUGUAUUUAUUAGCUACAGAAUCAAUCCGCGACGCGGCUAUUGGGCGAUUCGGAGUAAAUAUGCGAAGCGCAUGACUCGUGUCGGCGCUGCGUUGUUCAAGCUUCUGACCUAUCAGCUUUGGGCGGUAGGGUAUUGGCCUACCGUGGCAUUUACGGGUAACGGAGAAUUAGGGUUCGGUUCCGGAGAGGAAGCCCGAGAAACAGCUACCACAUCUAAGGAAGGCAGCAGGCGCGCAAAUUACUCAAUCCUGACACAGGGAGGUAGUGACGAGAAAUAACGAAGCAAGCCGAAAUUGCGGUUUUGCUGUUGGAAUGGGUAGAAAGUAAACCUCUUUGCGACUAUCAAUUGGAGGGCAAGUCUGGUGCCAGCAGCCGCGGUAAUUCCAGCUCCAAUAGCGUAUAUUAAAGUUGUUGCGGUUAAAAAGCUCGUAGUUGGGUUUCUGUCGAGGGCGGGCGGUCCUUGCUUGGCGAGAGUAUCUGCCUCGGCCUUGGCAUCCUCGUGGGAGAUGUAACUGCGCUUGAGUGCGUGGUGCGAACCUCGCGACUUUUACUUUGAGGAAAUUAGAGUGUUUGCGGCAAGCUAUCGCCUUGAAUAUAUUAGCAUGGAAUAAUGAUUUAGGAUUUUGGUUCUACCUUGUUGGUUCCUAGAACUAGAGUUAUGGUUAAUAGGGACAAUUGGGGGCAUUUGUAUUAACCUGUCAGAGGUGGAAUUCUUGGAUUAGGUUACGACACGCUACUGCGAAAGCAUUUGCCAAGGGUGUUUUCAUUGAUCAAGAACGAAAGUAUGGGGAUCGAAGAUGAUUAGAUACCGUCGUAGUCUAUACCAUAAACAAUGCCAGCUAGAGAUAGGGGGUCGUCCUUUUAUUGAUUCCUUCUGCACCUUCUGAGAAAUCAAAGUCUUUGGGUUCCGGGGGGAGUAUGGUCGCAAGGCUGAAACUUAAA